This 52-nucleotide non-coding RNA is filed under the name Leclercia adecarboxylata. RNAcentral's name for it is "algC RNA". It matches the Rfam family "algC RNA". Lineage: Bacteria; Pseudomonadati; Pseudomonadota; Gammaproteobacteria; Enterobacterales; Enterobacteriaceae. The record is from RNAcentral.
UUAAUAAGGCUCAUUAAGGGCCAGGGCCAACUGUUGCCUGAAUAAGGGGUAA